CAGGUACCGUCAAAUACAGGACCUAUUAGAACCUGUACUGUUCUUCCCUGCAAACAGGGGUUUACGACCCGAAGGCCUUGUCCCCCACGCGGCGUUGCUGCGUCAGGCUUUCGCCCAUUGCGCAAUAUUCCUC
This 133-nucleotide ribosomal RNA is filed under the name uncultured bacterium. Its description in RNAcentral is "partial 16S ribosomal RNA". The record is from RNAcentral.